AGCUUUGCACAGUGGCAGUAUCGUAGCCAAUGAGGUUUAUCCAAGGUACAAUUAUUGCUAAUUGAAAAUAUGCCAAGUGUC
This 81-nucleotide small nuclear RNA is filed under the name Neogale vison (American mink). RNAcentral describes it as "Neovison vison (American mink) U4 spliceosomal RNA (ENSNVIG00000001166.1)". It matches the Rfam family "U4 spliceosomal RNA". Rfam says of the family: U4 small nuclear RNA (U4 snRNA) is a component of the major U2-dependent spliceosome. The record is from RNAcentral. Lineage: Eukaryota; Metazoa; Chordata; Mammalia; Carnivora; Mustelidae.